This 292-nucleotide ribosomal RNA is filed under the name uncultured bacterium. RNAcentral's name for it is "partial 16S ribosomal RNA". The record is from RNAcentral.
GGACUACAGGGGUAUCUAAUCCUGUUUGCUCCCCACGCUUUCGUGCAUGAGCGUCAGUGUUAUCCCAGGAGGCUGCCUUCGCCAUCGGUAUUCCUCCACAUCUCUACGCAUUUCACUGCUACACGUGGAAUUCUACCUCCCUCUGACACACUCUAGCCUGCCAGUUACAAGCGCCAUUCCCAGGUUAAGCCCGGGGAUUUCACACCUGUCUUAACAAACCGCCUGCGCACGCUUUACGCCCAGUAAUUCCGAUUAACGCUCGCACCCUACGUAUUACCGCGGCUGCUGGCAC